ACAGCCAAGCAACCCAAAGUGAUUUCUGUAUUUCUCAAUCCAGCCCAAGAGUGGAUUGGCAGGAAGGGUGCAGGACCUAACCCAAUGACAAUGCUCGCAGGAGGAGCCCUCCAGAAGGCAACAGCCCCACAGGCCUCCUCACUCAGAAGUCUUUGAAGGACGCAUGUCAAGCACAGGAUGUGUGCUUUUUCCUACUGUAAACAAGCAAGUCUCUAAAAAUAUUCAUGAGAUUUUUCUACUAGGGAAAAAGAAUAAUAUUCCACUGAACUGAAGACCACAUAUGAAACAGGGGAAGGACGCUGGAAAUAAAGCUCCAUACAUAGCUCGGUACUAGUAGAUCAGCAUGUUAACUAGGUUAAUUCCCAACUGUCCUACCACCAACUACCUAGCACGAGGCUCUCAACAACCUGCAGCCAGAUCCCAGGUGGUCCCAAUGGCUACAUUCAUUGAAUACAGCCUGAGCAAUACUCUCACUCCACUCUUCACUCAGCUGACCCUGUAUUCUGUGAAUUCUGCCCUAGCUCCAAACCUCUUGGUACAAAGGAACUCUCUACGUUUAGUUCUCUCGACAACUACCUACUAUAAGAUGAAGUUUCCAGGAACUCAUGUGAUCAUGAGACUCUGCAGUCACUUCAGGGGGUCUUGUUGACUGGCUCGGGGGGCUGGUGUCAAGCCCAAGCAGAAG
Molecule: long non-coding RNA, 685 nt
Organism: Homo sapiens (human)
Lineage: Eukaryota; Metazoa; Chordata; Mammalia; Primates; Hominidae
Product: long intergenic non-protein coding RNA 1588
Source: Ensembl